AUCCUAUCCUGUAAUCCUGUAACAAUUCUUUAAAAGAAGGUUUAUUCAAUAGUGGAAUUCCUAUGUGGCAUCCUCUAGAUUUUUUUCAAAUUUUUUUAUGAAUGGUCUUUAUUACAAUAACACCCCAUGAUCAAAUCAUUCGCAUUCCACUACUUUACAUGUACACACUCCCCUAAAAUUUCAAAUUUCGAAUUCAAAAUCGAUUAAAAAAGAGAUUCAUUCCCAAUUUUCCAUCAUCUACGUUCUCCUGUUUCAUUUUUCUCUCUUCCUCCUCUUCUUCUUCGAUUCUUCUCCUUCAUCGUCAGUUCCUCCUUUUUUUUUUCUUCCCUUCUUCCGUUCGUUUCUUCUUCCUGUUCCUAAUCUAAGUUGGAGAUGGAGGUUAUAAAGUUCAUGCACUUACCAAGGCAGAGGAUCUCAUUGUACCUGAUGGCUCCAAACUUAGGGGAGUCAUCGCGGUGGAGGCAAUGCCAGCGGUGGUGGUAGGGUUACGGCAGUGGAUGAGGUGCCGAUUGCUGUGGUGGUGGACGAUGGUAUGACGUGGUGGUCGCAGUGGGUGUGGUGGAGUUCGUGGUAACCAUCCAUGUGUGGUGAUGGAUACGGAGGAGGAACCGGUGGAAGAAAGCAUAUAGCGGGAGAGUACUAAGUGGCGUUCAUAGAGAGCACAUGUAGUGAGACUAUAAAAGCCGAGAGCACAGCAGAACAGAGCCGUGAGAUCUAAUCGGUGUUCAGAGCAGAUUUGCAUGUAUUAGACAACAAAAUCAAAUCAGCUGUCUGAAACAUGGUUCGGUAUCUCCUUUUGAGUUUUGAUAUGGAGUUUGGUAUCUACAGGUUGAAUGGUUGAUCUAAGUAGAGCAAGGCACCUUUGCUUGAGAUAGUUUUCAAGUCUGAUAUAAAAACGGGUAUUAAAGCAGCAGAGCAUGCAGCAGAAAUACAGAGAUUGGUUCGGUAUUUGGGAGUGAGCAAUGGCAAUAUGAAAACUUUUUCUAUACUAACAGUGGUGGGUGCUUUCAGUAUCUAAAUCCACUAUCAGCAGAAGUACAUAAUUCAAGUCCCCAAACAUAUAUCACCGACGUAGAAAGUGCAAAUGUAUGAACCACUCGCAAAUUAACUUUUUCAUACUAAGCAUGAUAUGUAUUUGUGUGGACUUGGCACUUAUACAUAUUUUUUUCCUCUAAUUUUGGUUAACUUAAUUGUGACUUGAUUCCUAAGGAAGUCUCGAUGUUUAUUCUUAAGCUUUUGAAUAUCACAAAUUGUAUUGCAGGGUCAGCAGACAAUACACUAAAAUUUGGGAUUUAGAAUCCUUUGAACUGAUUGGAUCUACUAGACAAGAGGUUUCACAUUUAGUGUCGUAUGAGUCGUGGUGUUAUCAAUAGAGAUUAUUGGUGGGUUUGGAUUCUGUAGUUUCUCUGUUUUAAAUGUUCUUAUUGUGCAUUAUUUUCUUUUUUAGGUUCACCUCAUUAUGUACAAGCACAAAUAUAGUGGAGGUCAUGGUUCUCAAUGAAUUUUGACAGCAAAGCUACAAAGGCUUCUCGAUAGUGCAAUAUGAAGACAAGAUCCAUGGGUGUGAAGAAUUCUACUAAGAAAACUAUUAGAAGGAAUCACAAAUAAGUGUUAUUUCAGCAGGGUUCAAGCUAUGAUCAAGAAGCUUUACCUUAAGUUACCAAGAAUAAACCACCAGUUUCUUUCUUCAAAUAGCUAAAGAGAAAUGGUAAAUUCAACUUUCCGUUUUGUGGAUGACUGCUAUUAUAAUAUACAUUUAAUUCACAUUUAUCUAUUUAUUUUUUGAAUUUGAUCUGUUUUAUUUUGUUCUCUUUUACCUUUUCCUGUUUUAUUUCAAUUUGAAUGCUUCUAUAGUAAGAACAUUGCCAUCAAUUGCUUGGAUAGAGGUGGAUUUGAUAUUCUUCUUUCAGUGGUUAUGUUUUAGUUCGAUGAGGUGGAUUUGGCUGGCGCAAAGUUUGAAUAAUGGUUUGUUGAGAUGGUGAAUUUGUCUCUUUAUCUUGAAAAAAUUAUAUAUUUGGCAAAUAUAUGCAUUUAAACCAUUUUUACAAUUUUUCUUUCGAAAGCCUCCGUUCCUAUAGAAUUAAGAUAGUUCUUUCUUAGACUCUUUAAUUUAUGAGAACCUAUUAUUUUACAUAAUGAAUUUAGAGAUCAACCAUUUUGCAUUGCUGGCACUGUGCAUCAUGUUUUCUAGAAAAAUAACUAUUUAUAUUUCUUAAAUGAUUUAGGACUAUGAAGUUCUCAAAAAACUUGCUUGUGUGACUGAUAAAUCUGAUAGGAGAGCCCUUGAGCAAUUACGUGAGUAAGAAGAUUCAGUAUUUCGUUGUACUUAAUGUUCUAUGCACUUUUUUUUUCAUUGUACUUAGUGUUCCAUGCUCUUUUUUCUUUUUAAUUUUUGUUGAAAUCAUGUGCCUUCUCCUGCUUAUUUGCUUUUCAAAUAGUUGGGUAUUGAUUUGCCUAUAUAUUAUGACUUAAUUUUUUCCAUUUGAGGGAUAUAAUUUUGCUUUAAAAUAUUGGAUUGCCAUUCUUUAAUUGAGUUCUUUGUUUACUAUAGAGAAUUCUGCACCACAAUUCCUAAUGAUUUUGGAUUCAGAAAAAUUAAGCUCUCUCUCCCAUACGUUUUUUUAUCCACUUUGUUUCCUUUUAUAUUAAUGAUAUGUAUCAAUUGCUUUGCAACAUUAGUAUUUGAUAUUCUUCUUUCAGUGGUUAUGUUUUAGUUCGAUGAGGUGGAUCUGGCUGGUGCAAAGUUUGAAUAUUUAUGGUUUGGACUUUGGAGUGAAUAUUUAUUUUUUAAAAAAAAAUCAUGAAGCUUUUUAUUUUUUGCUGCUUUAGUUUGCAUUAUUGUAUAUUCACGCUCUAACUACACAUGCUAUAUUUUUUCAGCUAAUUUUUGUUGAGAUAGUGAAUUUGUCUAUUUAUCUUGAAAAUUUUAUGUUUGGCAAAUAUAUGCAUUUAAACUAUUUUUUCAAUUUUUCUUUUGAAAGUCUACGUCCUAUAGAAUUAAGAUAGUUCUUUCUUAGACUCUUCCAUUUAUGUGAACCUAUUAUUCUACAUAAUGAGAGUUUAGAGAUCAACCAUUUUGCAUUGCGUGCAUUGUGCAUCCUGUUUUCUAGAAAAAUAGCUAUUCAUAUUUCUUAAAUGAUUUAGAGCUAUGAAGUUCUUAAAAGACUUGCUUAUGUGAUAUAUAAUAUUCUAUGCUCUUUUGAAUGUCCAUAAUUGUAUUUGUCUUAUUAUCAUCAUUAUUUUGACUGCUGCUUUAUUAAUGUAUAUUUAUAAUUUUACAUGACUUUUGUGGUAUUAUGUAGCAUGUGAAGUUGGUGACAGUGUCAUUGCAAUGUUAGAUGAUCUUAAUCAUAGGAAAGGGCUCUUCCUCUCUGGGACAUGGAUUGAAGACCAAAUGCAUUAGAUGAAUCUGAAAUUUUUACAAGGAUAUACUGUAUUUGAAGCUUGCUAAUGAGGAAUUUGUUUGCCAUUGGUAACGGAUGCAAGAAGUUAAGGAAUCUAAUACUAUGUCACAAGGGUUUGGAAGUAAUUGCUACCGGAUGCAAGGAAUUUACAUAUCUUGAAGUCAAUGGAUGUCACAACAUUCGAGCUUUGUAGCUAGAAUCCAUUGGAAGAUCUUGCCAGUUUGUAUGUAAAAUAAGGAAUGAAUUAACCAUUCAAUAAAUAGGUAACAUAAGGAAGCACGGGACACAUGUUUGGCCUCUUUAUAUUUACAUUUGGUCAAGUUUUUCAUUGCUUGCUAUGUGUGUUUCUCUGUUUAUUUUUCGUUUGUGGUGCUAUACUCGACUUUCUAAUGACAGACAUUUUAUUGA
Molecule: long non-coding RNA, 3812 nt
Organism: Arachis duranensis
Lineage: Eukaryota; Viridiplantae; Streptophyta; Magnoliopsida; Fabales; Fabaceae
Exons: 9
Source: RefSeq, a predicted model, not a curated record